CACAAAGCAAUGCAACCAUCACAAGCCACAUGGUAUUUUGCUUAAACCUGCAAAAAUCUCUGUGGCAUUAUUCACUCCCACUCCCAUUUUCGCUUAAUUAUUUAAUAGUUUUCUAUGAUAUAUUAAUUAUUACUCGCCUACUUGUUUUCCUCUUGACUCGCAUCCAUUAUCUCUUCAACACAAUAACCACAUCAGAGAUUUUCUCUAACUGAAACCCUCAAGAUAUGCCUGAAGAAGCAGAAGAAUCCACGUCUGUUCCUCUCAGCCAUCCCGACAAUGGCGGCGACGAUCCCGAGGAUCCAGCCAAGUCUCCCCCGUCUUCCUCCAAUUCCUCUACUCGCGAGGCUUGCUGUUAUGUUCUCCAAAGUUGGGUCUCAAAGAAGUUUAUGACUGGAUGUGUUGUACUUUUCCCCAUAGCGGUGACAUUUUUUAUUACAUGGUGGCUUGUUCAGUUUGUUGAUGGUUUCUUCAGCCCAAUUUAUGAACGGCUUGGCAUUGACGUAUUUGGACUUGGAUUUGUCACUUCUCUGGUGUUUGUAUUCUUUGUUGGUGUUUUUGUCUCAUCAUGGAUAGGCUCCACUGUUUUCUGGCUUGGGGAAUGGUUCAUAAAGCGAAUGCCCUUUGUUAGGCACUUAUAUUCAGCAUCCAAACAAAUUAGUGCUGCAAUUUCUCCAGAUCAGAAUACAACAGCAUUUAAAGAGGUUGCAAUUAUCCGUCAUCCUCGUGUUGGUGAAUAUGCAUUUGGUUUUAUCACAUCAACAGUAAUCCUUCAGAGAGAUAAUGAAGAUGAAGAGUUAUGCAGUGUUUUUGUCCCAACAAAUCACCUGUACAUUGGCGAUAUAUUCCUUGUGAACUCUAAGGACAUCAUAAGACCAAAUCUGUCAAUACGAGAAGGCAUAGAGAUCAUUGUCUCUGGAGGUAUGACAAUGCCGCAAAUGAUUAUGCCUCUGGAACGGAUUGCUCGACAAAGUGAAAGAAUUCCUUUGAACAGGAUUGUUUGAUGGCACCAAACAUAGAAACAAAGAAGCAACUCUCUUCAGUUGCUUUCAAUUCCCACUGACAAGCAAGAGCUUGGACAAGAGCCUUCAAUGGGGGCGGGAAGUCCUUGAGAAGGGUAUCAGAUGGUAGGUCAACAAUGGGCAAUCCAUUUUAUGUGACGAUAAGUGGAUCCCUAAAUCCUUACCCAACAAACCUCUGCUUAGACCAGAUGCCAAUGGAAUGAUUCACUGGGUCUCUCAAUUGUUGGAUGAAACGGGAAGUGGUUAGAUUUAAAUGUGCACAAGUCGGUAUUUCUUGAAGCGGAAAUUCAUAAUAUUCUCUCUAGUCCAGUCAAUCUUUUUAAUAGAGAGGAUAGACUAAUCAGGCAUCAUACCAGACAUGGAAAAUUUACUGUCAAAUCCGGGUAUUAUAUUGCAAGAGAGAUCAAGCUUCAGAGCAAUAUUCCAAUGCCAUCAGAUCCUGGACCAAGUCACUCCCCCAACAUUUCUACCUUCUGGAAGAGUCUUUGGAAGCUUAAAAUCCCACCGAAGCUAUCUUUUUAUGGAAGUUAUGCGGAGACUGCUUGCCGACUAAAUCAGUAAUUAAAAGAAGAUUUCCUGCAUGUCCCAGAUGAAUGUCGCUUUUGUGGAGAAUCUGAAACUCCGAGGUAUGCCUUUCUCACUUGUCCAAAGGCCAAAGAAGUGUGGUUUAACUCUCCACUUCACCUGCGUUCAACUUUUAUCCAAGGCACUUACAUGAAAACUGUUGGGAAGAGAUUAACUCAAGCUUAUUGCAGCACCGAGUGGAAGAUGAAACUCUAUAUCUCCCAGUGUUUAUCUUAUGGCAUAUUUGGUAACCGCGAAAUCUCCAAGUUUUUAAUAACCAAUAUAUGGAUGCCAACCAGGUGAUAGAGGCAGCGCUUAAUCACCAUCGGGAAUUUCUUUCGGCUCAAGUUUGUAUUAGGCAGCAAAUCACCAACAUAACUCUUCCACACACUUGGUACUCUUCCUCUGAAGACAUCAUUAAGAUCAAUUAUGAUGCUGCUGUUAAUAAGAAAGACCGAGCAGGUGUUAUAGCAGCAGUGACUCGUGACUCAAAUGGAAGAGUUUUGGGUUGGAUUUGUAGGAAAAUUACUGGUCUAGUGGAGCCUCUUGUGAUGGAAGCUUUAACAUGUAGAGAGGUUGUUCAGUUGGCAAUCUCCAGACAUUUCAACAAAGUAAUGCUAGGAGGGGAUGCCCAAUCUGUUAUUAAUUGCUGUUAGGGCAAGGAAAGGAAAGUAUCCUGGCAAUCCAGGUCUGAUAGCUGAUAUCAAUGUUUUCAAGCACCAAUUGCAAUAUACUUCUUUCCUUUGUGUUAAAAGAGAUGGUAACAGGGCGGCACAUGUGUUAGCCGCCAAAGCCCUUCAUGACCCUUCCUUCAGGGUUAAUCCUUUGUAUCAUACUAUGUUAGCUCUUCUUUGCUGAUUUAGGCUAUUUAUGAAUUCCAAUCUUAAAAAAUAAAUAAUUAAAUAAGCAUGGCAAGAAUUUGGUGCAGCUGUGUUUUCUUAUUGAAG
RNAcentral lists this unclassified non-coding RNA (2530 nucleotides) under Hevea brasiliensis (rubber tree). Lineage: Eukaryota; Viridiplantae; Streptophyta; Magnoliopsida; Malpighiales; Euphorbiaceae. The record is from RNAcentral.